This 57-nucleotide ribosomal RNA is filed under the name Polygala chamaebuxus. RNAcentral's name for it is "partial 26S ribosomal RNA". The record is from RNAcentral. Lineage: Eukaryota; Viridiplantae; Streptophyta; Magnoliopsida; Fabales; Polygalaceae.
AUGGGACCCCAAGUCAGGCGGGAUCACCCGCUGAGGUUAAGCAUAUCAAUAAGCGGA